GCUAACAUUGUGGUCGCCAGUGUCGGUGGUAAACCGGCCACCUCACUCUUCAAAGGCCAACUUGAAGAGGAGAAGGGUGGAAUUAAGACUGAUGGGUUCUUCAAAACAAGCUUACCUGAUGUAUACGCACUUGGAGAUGUAGCUACAUUCCCAAUGAAAAUGUAUGGCGAGAUGAGGCGUAUUGAACACGCUGACAAUGCUCGCAAAUCUGCUGGACAAGCAGUCAAAGCAAUCAAAGCAGCUGAGGAAGGGAAAACUGUCCCAGAUUACGACUAUCUCCCCUUUUUCUACUCUAGAUUUUUCGACCUCUCGUGGGAAUUCUAUGGAGACAACGUAGGAGAAUCUGUAAUCUUUGGAGAUACUGACCCCAAAACUCCAAAGCC
Molecule: non-coding RNA, 383 nt
Organism: Camelina sativa (false flax)
Lineage: Eukaryota; Viridiplantae; Streptophyta; Magnoliopsida; Brassicales; Brassicaceae
Source: RefSeq, a predicted model, not a curated record